This 253-nucleotide ribosomal RNA is filed under the name uncultured bacterium. Its description in RNAcentral is "partial 16S ribosomal RNA". It matches the Rfam family "Bacterial small subunit ribosomal RNA", at positions 524 to 776 of the family's 1533-position model. The record is from RNAcentral.
UACGUAGGGUGCAAGCGUUAAUCGGAAUUACUGGGCGUAAAGCGUGCGCAGGCGGUUUGGUAAGACAGAUGUGAAAUCCCUGGGCUCAACCUAGGAAUUGCAUUUGUGACUGCCCGGCUAGAGUGUGUCAGAGGGGGGUAGAAUUCCACGUGUAGCAGUGAAAUGCGUAGAGAUGUGGAGGAAUACCGAUGGCGAAGGCAGCCCCCUGGGAUAACACUGACGCUCAUGCACGAAAGCGUGGGGAGCAAACAGG